AAUCAACGCUGGCGGCGUGCCUAACACAUGCAAGUCGAACGCGAAAGCCCCGCAAGGGUAAGUAGAGUGGCGCACGGGUGAGUAACACGUGGAUAACCUGCCUUUGAGUGGGGAAUAACCUUCCGAAAGGAGGGCUAAUACCGCAUAACACCUUUAGACAAAAGUCAAAGGGUUAAAAGGAAGCAAUUCGCUCAAAGAGGGGUCCGCGCCUGAUUAGCUAGUUGGUGAGGUAACGGCUCACCAAGGCUUCGAUCAGUAGCCGUCCUGAGAGGGAGCACGGCCACACUGGAACUGAGACACGGUCCAGACUCCUACGGGAGGCAGCAGUGGGGAAUUUUUGGCAAUGGGCGAAAGUCUGACGCAGCAACGCCGCGUGA
Molecule: ribosomal RNA, 377 nt
Filed under: uncultured bacterium
Lineage: Bacteria
Description: bacterial SSU rRNA
Rfam family: Bacterial small subunit ribosomal RNA
Source: RNAcentral